Molecule: ribosomal RNA, 625 nt
Filed under: uncultured bacterium
Lineage: Bacteria
Description: bacterial SSU rRNA
Rfam family: Bacterial small subunit ribosomal RNA
Source: RNAcentral
CAUGCCGCGUGCAGGAUGACGGUCCUAUGGAUUGUAAACUGCUUUUGUACAGGAAGAAACACUCCCUCGUGAGGGAGCUUGACGGUACUGUAAGAAUAAGGAUCGGCUAACUCCGUGCCAGCAGCCGCGGUAAUACGGAGGAUCCAAGCGUUAUCCGGAAUCAUUGGGUUUAAAGGGUCCGUAGGCGGGUUUAUAAGUCAGUGGUGAAAGCCCAUCGCUCAACGAUGGAACGGCCAUUGAUACUGUAGAUCUUGAAUUAUUAGGAAGUAACUAGAAUAUGUAGUGUAGCGGUGAAAUGCUUAGAGAUUACAUGGAAUACCAAUUGCGAAGGCAGGUUACUACUAAUGGAUUGACGCUGAUGGACGAAAGCGUGGGUAGCGAACAGGAUUAGAUACCCUGGUAGUCCACGCCGUAAACGAUGGAUACUAGCUGUUCGGAGCAAUCUGAGUGGCUAAGCGAAAGUGAUAAGUAUCCCACCUGGGGAGUACGUUCGCAAGAAUGAAACUCAAAGGAAUUGACGGGGGCCCGCACAAGCGGUGGAGCAUGUGGUUUAAUUCGAUGAUACGCGAGGAACCUUACCAAGGCUUAAAUGUAGAUUGACAGGUUUGGAAACAGACUUUUCUUC